RNAcentral lists this ribosomal RNA (403 nucleotides) under marine gamma proteobacterium LHAT5. Its description in RNAcentral is "bacterial SSU rRNA". It matches the Rfam family "Bacterial small subunit ribosomal RNA", at positions 143 to 535 of the family's 1533-position model. The record is from RNAcentral. Lineage: Bacteria; Pseudomonadati; Pseudomonadota; Gammaproteobacteria.
AUAACCAUUGGAAACGAUGGCUAAUACCGCAUGAUGCCUACGGGCCAAAGAGGGGGACCUUCGGGCCUCUCGCGUCAGGAUAUGCCUAGGUGGGAUUAGCUAGUUGGUGAGGUAAGGGCUCACCAAGGCGACGAUCCCUAGCUGGUCUGANAGGAUGAUCAGCCACACUGGAACUGANACACGGUCCAGACUCCUACGGGAGGCAGCAGUGGGGAAUAUUGCACAAUGGGCGCAAGCCUGAUGCAGCCAUGCCGCGUGUGUGAANAAGGCCUUCGGGUUGUAAAGCACUUUCAGUCCUUGAGGAAGGUGGUGUAGUUAAUAGCUGUAUUAUUUGACGUUAGCGACAGAAANAAGCACCGGCUAACUCCGUGCCAACAGCCCGCGGUAAUUACCGGAAAGGUGC